Rhodamnia argentea is the source of this 324-nucleotide long non-coding RNA. RefSeq lists it as uncharacterized. Lineage: Eukaryota; Viridiplantae; Streptophyta; Magnoliopsida; Myrtales; Myrtaceae. The transcript has 2 exons. The record is from RefSeq and is a predicted model, not a curated record.
GUGGCCAUGGUAUAUGGUCCUGUAAACGGAUGGGUCGUCAUUUAUCUUUUGGACCUGCUUGGUCGCGGGGCACCCCAGGUCGAACUUGUGAGUGCACCUGAAGUAGCUCCUUACCACGGGAACUCCGAGUUGAGAAUCGCUUUCUGACCAUAUUUGCUCCAUUGGUACCCGUCGUCGAUCAAAUUGGGGUCCAUCCUCAUCCGUGUAUCUGAAGUCUUUCUGCAGAAAAAAAAUUUGAAUAAUUCCCAGUUCAUGUUAGAAUCAAUUUAGACCCACAUACAUAAUUUAACUUAUAACAAAUUCCAUAAAUGAAUAAAAAGACAA